UUUUUUUUCGAAACGCGUGGGCUUCGCCUAGCGAGCAUGACAGUUCAAGAAAUUCCUCUGAGCGUAGGUGAUUCUGGUGGCUUUUCUUGGGACUCGCUAGGAGACCCAUUCUGCUCGCCUAGCGAGCAUGAAAACUCAUGAACAAACUUUUGCUCCUUCAAGGUUAACGUUUUGACUGAUGAAUAGACCCCAUUUGAACAUGUUGGAAGUGACUCACGUCAUUCCCUUG
RNAcentral lists this long non-coding RNA (229 nucleotides) under Lathyrus oleraceus (garden pea). RNAcentral describes it as "Pisum sativum (pea) long non-coding RNA (PSAT_LNC028621)". The record is from RNAcentral. Lineage: Eukaryota; Viridiplantae; Streptophyta; Magnoliopsida; Fabales; Fabaceae.